UACGUAGGGUGCGAGCGUUGUCCGGAAUUAUUGGGCGUAAAGAGCUCGUAGGCGGUUUGUCGCGUCUGCCGUGAAAGUCCGGGGCUCAACUCCGGAUCUGCGGUGGGUACGGGCAGACUAGAGUGAUGUAGGGGAGACUGGAAUUCCUGGUGUAGCGGUGAAAUGCGCAGAUAUCAGGAGGAACACCAGUGGCGAAGGCGCCGCUCUGGGCCGUGACUGACGCUGAGGAGCGAAAGCGUGGGUAGCAAACAGG
This 253-nucleotide ribosomal RNA is filed under the name uncultured bacterium. RNAcentral's name for it is "partial 16S ribosomal RNA". It matches the Rfam family "Bacterial small subunit ribosomal RNA", at positions 524 to 776 of the family's 1533-position model. The record is from RNAcentral.